AAGAUCAUACUUCACAGGAUCAGUUCUGUAGUAUUCGAUCUUAUUCUCCCUCCCUAACACGGGAGUAAGCGUAACCAUGAUGAGGAGUUGCAGUCCUCUUCCUUGAGCGUGAGAACGACACGAGUUCUCGACUUGUUUCGAGAUCUCUGUCAUCGAUGAUCGUUCUCCCUUUGCACUUAGUGUAAAGGGGAUGGGGAGACGGGCUUUCUGAGUGGU
Molecule: non-coding RNA, 216 nt
Organism: Camponotus floridanus (Florida carpenter ant)
Lineage: Eukaryota; Metazoa; Arthropoda; Insecta; Hymenoptera; Formicidae
Source: Rfam